RNA transcript from Pogoniulus pusillus (Red-fronted tinkerbird), 2579 nucleotides. It is a transcript of the gene named glutamine--fructose-6-phosphate transaminase 1, with no coding region annotated. The record is from RefSeq and is a predicted model, not a curated record. The transcript has 20 exons. Lineage: Eukaryota; Metazoa; Chordata; Aves; Piciformes; Lybiidae.
GCGGCGGCGGGGGGCGGCACAGCCCCGGCGGCAGGGCCAGUGGAGCCGCGGACGGGGACACCAUGUGCGGCAUCUUUGCCUACCUGAACUACCAUGUGCCCAGGACCCGGCGGGAGAUCCUGGAGACCCUCAUCAAGGGGCUGCAGCGCCUGGAGUACAGAGGCUAUGACUCUGCAGGAGUGGGAGUGGAUGGUGGCAACGACAAGGACUGGGAAGCCAACGCCUGCAAGAUCCACCUGAUCAAACAGAAGGGCAAGGUGAAGGCUCUGGACGAGGAGGUCCACAAGCAACAGGACAUGGACCUGGACAUCGAGUUCGACGUGCACCUGGGCAUCGCCCACACCCGCUGGGCCACGCACGGCGAGCCCAGCCCUGUCAACAGCCACCCGCAGCGCUCCGACAAGGACAACGAGUUCAUUGUCAUCCACAAUGGCAUCAUCACCAACUACAAAGACCUGCGGAAGUUCCUGGAGAGCAAGGGCUACGACUUCGAGUCGGAGACGGACACGGAGAGCAUCGCCAAGCUGGUCAAGUACAUGUACGACAACAGGGACAGCGACGACAUCAGCUUCACCACCCUGGUGGAGAGAGUCAUCCAGCAGCUGGAAGGAGCUUUCGCCCUCGUCUUCAAAAGCGUUCACUACCCAGGCCAAGCAGUUGGCACCAGGAGGGGCAGUCCCCUGCUGAUCGGAGUGCGCAGCGAGCACAAGCUCUCCACCGACCACAUCCCCAUCCUCUACCGCACAGGGAAGGACAAGAAGGGAAGCUGCAACCUGUCCCGGGUGGACAGCACCACCUGCCUGUUCCCCGUGGAGGAGAAGGCUGUGGAGUACUACUUUGCCUCGGAUGCCAGUGCUGUGAUCGAGCACACCAACAGAGUGAUCUUCCUGGAGGACGACGAUGUGGCAGCCGUGGUGGACGGGCGCCUCUCCAUCCACCGCAUCAAGCGCACCGCCGGGGACCACCCGGGCAGGGCUGUGCAGACCCUGCAGAUGGAGCUGCAGCAGAUCAUGAAGGGUAACUUCAGCUCCUUUAUGCAGAAGGAAAUCUUUGAGCAGCCAGAAUCUGUGGUUAACACCAUGAGGGGAAGGGUCAACUUUGAUGACUACACAGUGAAUCUGGGCGGGCUGAAGGAUCACAUCAAGGAGAUCCAGAGGUGUCGCCGCCUGAUCCUCAUCGCCUGCGGCACCAGCUACCAUGCGGGCGUGGCCACCCGGCAGGUGCUGGAGGAGCUGACAGAGCUGCCAGUGAUGGUGGAGCUUGCCAGUGACUUCCUGGACAGGAACACUCCUGUCUUCAGGGAUGAUGUCUGCUUCUUCCUCAGCCAGUCAGGGGAGACAGCAGACACCCUGAUGGGGCUGAGGUACUGCAAGGAGCGAGGGGCCCUGACCGUGGGCAUCACCAACACCGUGGGCAGCUCCAUCUCGCGCGAGACCGACUGCGGGGUGCACAUCAACGCGGGGCCCGAGAUCGGCGUGGCCAGCACCAAGGCCUACACCAGCCAGUUCAUCUCGCUGGUGAUGUUUGCCCUGAUGAUGUGUGACGACAGGAUCUCCAUGCAGGAGAGGCGCAAGGAGAUCAUGCGUGGCCUGAAGGGGCUGCCAGACCUAAUUAAAGAAGUGCUGAGCAUGGAUGAUGAGAUCCAGAAGUUGGCCACGGAGCUCUACCACCAGAAGUCUGUGCUGAUCAUGGGCAGAGGCUAUCACUAUGCUACCUGCCUGGAGGGAGCUUUGAAAAUCAAGGAGAUCACCUACAUGCACUCUGAGGGCAUCCUGGCAGGGGAGCUGAAGCAUGGCCCCCUGGCCCUGGUGGACAAGCUGAUGCCAGUGAUCAUGAUCAUCAUGAGAGACCACACCUAUGCCAAGUGCCAGAAUGCCCUGCAGCAGGUCAUUGCCCGCCAGGGGAGGCCUGUGGUGAUCUGUGACAAGGAGGACAUUGAGACCAUCAAGAACAACAAGAGGACAAUCAAAGUUCCCCACUCAGUGGACUGUCUGCAGGGGAUCCUGAGUGUGAUCCCCCUCCAGCUGCUGGCUUUCCACCUGGCAGUGCUCAGAGGCUAUGAUGUGGAUUUCCCACGCAAUCUGGCCAAGUCUGUAACUGUAGAGUGACAGAGAUCUGCUGCCUCGCAGGGGCGCAGGGCACCCGGGCAGAGACUCCUGGCUUCGGUGCCCAGCCCCUUGGCUUUCAGGCCCCCUGGGCACACCUCCUUGGGGGGAAGCCUCCUUUGUGCCCAAGGUCGAUCGCAUUGCUGCCUCCAGGGACUGAGCCUGCGCUGCCACCUCGCUGCCGCCUGCUGCCUGCAGCCUCGAGGAGGAGGAGGAGGAGUGAGAGGGGUGAGCUGCGGGCAGCCAGAGCCACCUCCCUGGGCUGCCACCUUCUCUGCCCACACCCCAGGGCAGCAGCAGGCAUCGGCCAGGUCCUGUCUGCUCUGCAGCACCCCAGCUGUGGGUGCUUGGCACCAGCUCCCCUCCAGUCCUUGCUGGCUGCCCCUGGCACUCAGUUCUUACCUCCCCUUUAGGUCUGGCACAAUAAAGGUCUCCCAGGCUGCCCAGUGCCCAGGGCAGAGCAUCUCCUCCUCA